UAAAAGGUUUUAAGCAGAAAAGACACACAAUCUAGAAAGAUCAUUAUGGCUGCUGUAUGAAAGACAAACUGUGCAGGGAGGGGCUCA
This is a non-coding RNA of Ceratotherium simum simum (southern white rhinoceros), 87 nucleotides long. The record is from RefSeq and is a predicted model, not a curated record. Lineage: Eukaryota; Metazoa; Chordata; Mammalia; Perissodactyla; Rhinocerotidae.